Molecule: ribosomal RNA, 484 nt
Filed under: uncultured bacterium
Lineage: Bacteria
Description: partial 16S ribosomal RNA
Rfam family: Bacterial small subunit ribosomal RNA
Source: RNAcentral
AGUGAACGCUGGCGGCAGGCCUAACACAUGCAAGUCGAGCGGCAGCGGGUCCCUCGGGAUGCCGGCGAGCGGCGGACGGGUGAGGAAUGCAUCGGAAUCUGCCCCGUCGUGGGGGGUAACCUAGGGAAACUUAGGCUAAUACCGCAUACGACCCACGGGUGAAAGCGGGGGAGCGCAAGACCUCGCGCGCUAGGAUGAGCCGAUGUCCGAUUAGCUAGUUGGCGGGGUAAAGGCCCACUUAGGCGGCGAUCGGUAGGUGGUCGGGUAGGAUGAUCGGCCACCUUGGGGCUGAGACAGGGACCAGACGACUAAGAGAGGCAGCAGACGGGAAUAUGGGGCAGUGGGGGGAAGUCUGAUCCAGUGGUGGCGAGCGGGUGAAGAAGACGUUCGGGUUGGAAAGACGUUUUGCGGGGGAAGAACUCGUCUCGGCUGAGACGCCGGGUGAGUGACGGUACCGGAAGAAUAAGCACCGGCUAACUUCGUG